Molecule: ribosomal RNA, 406 nt
Filed under: bacterium enrichment culture clone ALO1_GLFRUDD03FT691
Lineage: Bacteria
Description: bacterial SSU rRNA
Rfam family: Bacterial small subunit ribosomal RNA
Source: RNAcentral
GAGUUUGAUCAUGGCUCAGAUUGAACGCUGGCGGCAUGCCUUACACAUGCAAGUCGAACGGCAGCACGGGAGCUUGCUCCUGGUGGCGAGUGGCGAACGGGUGAGUAAUGCAUCGGAACGUAUCCUGGAGUGGGGGAUAACGUAGCGAAAGUUACGCUAAUACCGCAUAUUCUGUGAGCAGGAAAGCGGGGGACCUUCGGGCCUCGCGCUCUUGGAGCGGCCGAUGUCGGAUUAGCUAGUUGGUGAGGUAAAGGCUCACCAAGGCGACGACCCGUAGCAGGUCUGAGAGGAUGAUCUGCCACACUGGAACUGAGACACGGUCCAGACUCCUACGGGAGGCAGCAGUGGGAAUUUUGGACAAUGGGGGCAACCCUGAUCCAGCCAUGCCGCGUGAGUGAAGAAGGCC